Molecule: ribosomal RNA, 502 nt
Filed under: Vexillum formosense
Lineage: Eukaryota; Metazoa; Mollusca; Gastropoda; Neogastropoda; Costellariidae
Description: partial 16S ribosomal RNA
Rfam family: Bacterial large subunit ribosomal RNA
Source: RNAcentral
UUGUAAAAAAUAGAUAAAGAGUCGGACCUGCCCGGUGAUAAUUUUUAACGGCCGCGGUACCCUGACCGUGCAAAGGUAGCAUAAUCAUUUGCCUUGUAAUUUAAGGCUAGUAUGAAGGGUUUGACAAGAGUAUAACUGUCUCCUUUUGGUUCAAUAGAAUUUUACCUGUAAGUGAAGAGGCUUACGUUUAAUUAAUAGACAAGAAGACCCUAUCGAGCUUUAAAACAAUUAAUAGAUUAAAUAUACAUAAUGCUAAAAUCAUGUCUAUUAAAAAUUUUGGUUGGGGCGACUAAGGAACAAAUAAAGCUUCCUUUAAAAAUUUAACACACAUGUAAAGAUCCAGAAAGUUCUGAUUAAGGGAAUUAGUUACCGUAGGGAUAACAGCAUUAUCUUUUUUGAGAGCUCUUAUCGAAAAAAAGGUUUGUGACCUCGAUGUUGGACCAGAAUAUCCCAAAGGUGCAGUAGCCUUUAAAGGUUGGUCUGUUCGACCAUUAAAAUUCUA